AUGUGCUCGGACUCCAAGGAAGUUGCUGCUGUACCACAGUCAACACACGCCACCUGCGCCCCCGCUUCGCCGCGCAGCGCACACCAAUCUGCCCACGCGCCGCCCCGCCCCGCCUCGCCUCUCCUCUCCUCUCCUCUCUCUUCUUCCUACGCGCGCCGAGAGAAGAUGGGGAAGCGAUGGAUCCCGCUCGAGGCCAACCCCGACGUCAUGAACCAGUUCAUCUGGGGACUGGGAGUCACCGAGGGGGAGGCGCAGUUCUGCGACGUCUACGGCCUCGACGACGAGCUGCUCGCCAUGGUGCCCCAGCCCGUCCUCGCCGUCAUCUUCCUCUACCCGCUCACCUCCCUGGAUGAGAAGGUGGAGGAAUACGAUGCUUCUGCCACCUCUACGGCAGGGGGCAAGGAUUCAAGCAAGAAGGUGUACUUUACAAAACAGACUGUUGGCAACGCUUGUGGAACAGUUGGUGUUAUUCAUGCAAUAGGGAAUGCUGCAUCCGACAUCAAGCUGGUUGAGGGAUCUUAUUUUGAUAGGUUUUAUAAACAAACAGCUGAUAUGGAUCCAGUUCAGCGUGCUGUCUUUCUCGAGGAGGAUGAUGAGAUGGAGGGUGCUCAUUCUGUUGCUGCUACUGCUGGUGACACUGACGUAAACGUUGAGGUGAAUGAACAUUUUGUCUGUUUCUCCUGUGUUGAUGGUGAACUUUACGAGCUUGAUGGGCGAAAAUCAAAACCGAUAUCUCAUGGCCCUUCAUCACCUGAGACCUUGCUGCAGGAUGCUGCAAAAGUCAUCAAGGCCAGAAUUGCGACGAACCCUAACUCGUUGAACUUCAACGUCAUGGUUCUUUCAAAACAGUGA
RNAcentral lists this ribosomal RNA (852 nucleotides) under Triticum aestivum (bread wheat). Its description in RNAcentral is "partial small subunit ribosomal RNA". Lineage: Eukaryota; Viridiplantae; Streptophyta; Magnoliopsida; Poales; Poaceae. The record is from RNAcentral.